RNAcentral lists this ribosomal RNA (253 nucleotides) under uncultured bacterium. Its description in RNAcentral is "partial 16S ribosomal RNA". It matches the Rfam family "Bacterial small subunit ribosomal RNA", at positions 524 to 776 of the family's 1533-position model. The record is from RNAcentral.
UACGUAGGGCGCAAGCGUUGUCCGGAAUUAUUGGGCGUAAAGAGCUCGUAGGCGGUCUGUUGCGUCCGCUGUGAAAACCCAGGGCUUAACCCUGGGCUGGCAGUGGAUACGGGCAGACUAGAGGUAGGUAGGGGGGAAUGGAAUUCCCGGUGUAGCGGUGAAAUGCGCAGAUAUCGGGAGGAACACCGGUGGCGAAGGCGGUUCUCUGGGCCUUACCUGACGCUGAGGAGCGAAAGCGUGGGGAGCGAACAGG